AAAUUGAAGAGUUUGAUCAUGGCUCAGAUUGAACGCUGGCGGCAGGCCUAACACAUGCAAGUCGAACGGUAACAGGAAGAAGCUUGCUUCUUUGCUGACGAGUGGCGGACGGGUGAGUAAUGUCUGGGAAACUGCCUGAUGGAGGGGGAUAACUACUGGAAACGGUAGCUAAUACCGCAUAACGUCGCAAGACCAAAGAGGGGGACCUUCGGGCCUCUUGCCAUCGGAUGUGCCCAGAUGGGAUUAGCUAGUAGGUGGGGUAACGGCUCACCUAGGCGACGAUCCCUAGCUGGUCUGAGAGGAUGACCAGCCACACUGGAACUGAGACACGGUCCAGACUCCUACGGGAGGCAGCAGUGGGGAAUAUUGCACAAUGGGCGCAAGCCUGAUGCAGCCAUGCCGCGUGUAUGAAGAAGGCCUUCGGGUUGUAAAGUACUUUCAGCGGGGAGGAAGGGAGUAAAGUUAAUACCUUUGCUCAUUGACGUUACCCGCAGAAGAAGCACCGGCUAACUCCGUGCCAGCAGCCGCGGUAAUACGGAGGGUGCAAGCGUUAAUCGGAAUUACUGGGCGUAAAGCGCACGCAGGCGGUUUGUUAAGUCAGAUGUGAAAUCCCCGGGCUCAACCUGGGAACUGCAUCUGAUACUGGCAAGCUUGAGUCUCGUAGAGGGGGUAGAAUUCCAGGUGUAGCGGUGAAAUGCGUAGAGAUCUGGAGGAAUACCGGUGGCGAAGGCGGCCCCCUGGACGAAGACUGACGCUCAGGUGCGAAAGCGUGGGGAGCAAACAGGAUUAGAUACCCUGGUAGUCCACGCCGUAAACGAUGUCGACUUGGAGGUUGUGCCCUUGAGGCGUGGCUUCCGGAGCUAACGCGUUAAGUCGACCGCCUGGGGAGUACGGCCGCAAGGUUAAAACUCAAAUGAAUUGACGGGGGCCCGCACAAGCGGUGGAGCAUGUGGUUUAAUUCGAUGCAACGCGAAGAACCUUACCUGGUCUUGACAUCCACGGAAGUUUUCAGAGAUGAGAAUGUGCCUUCGGGAACCGUGAGACAGGUGCUGCAUGGCUGUCGUCAGCUCGUGUUGUGAAAUGUUGGGUUAAGUCCCGCAACGAGCGCAACCCUUAUCCUUUGUUGCCAGCGGUCCGGCCGGGAACUCAAAGGAGACUGCCAGUGAUAAACUGGAGGAAGGUGGGGAUGACGUCAAGUCAUCAUGGCCCUUACGACCAGGGCUACACACGUGCUACAAUGGCGCAUACAAAGAGAAGCGACCUCGCGAGAGCAAGCGGACCUCAUAAAGUGCGUCGUAGUCCGGAUUGGAGUCUGCAACUCGACUCCAUGAAGUCGGAAUCGCUAGUAAUCGUGGAUCAGAAUGUCACGGUGAAUACGUUCCCGGGCCUUGUACACACCGCCCGUCACACCAUGGGAGUGGGUUGCAAAAGAAGUAGGUGGCUUAACCUUCGGGAGGGCGCUUACCACUUUGUGAUUCAUGACUGGGGUGAAGUCGUAACAAGGUAACCGUAGGGGAACCUGCGGUUGGAUCACCUCCUUA
Molecule: ribosomal RNA, 1541 nt
Filed under: Escherichia coli
Lineage: Bacteria; Pseudomonadati; Pseudomonadota; Gammaproteobacteria; Enterobacterales; Enterobacteriaceae
Description: bacterial SSU rRNA
Rfam family: Bacterial small subunit ribosomal RNA
Source: RNAcentral